RNAcentral lists this transfer RNA (76 nucleotides) under Bacilli bacterium. RNAcentral's name for it is "tRNA-Lys". It matches the Rfam family "tRNA". From Rfam's summary of the family: Transfer RNA (tRNA) molecules are approximately 80 nucleotides in length. The record is from RNAcentral. Lineage: Bacteria; Bacillati; Bacillota; Bacilli.
GUACCAUUAGCUCAGUUGGUAGAGCAAAUGACUCUUAAUCAUUGGGUCGUGGGUUCGAAUCCCUCAUGGUGCACCA